This 3286-nucleotide unclassified non-coding RNA is filed under the name Ixodes scapularis (black-legged tick). RNAcentral describes it as "nicotinamide/nicotinic acid mononucleotide adenylyltransferase 3, transcript variant X5". Lineage: Eukaryota; Metazoa; Arthropoda; Arachnida; Ixodida; Ixodidae. The record is from RNAcentral.
GUUCUGUUGCGUGUGUAUGCCUGCUGAGGUGGUGCAGCUCGCUGAUCUCUUUGCUUUGACCUUUGACGGUCAUCGCACUAGUCCUUAUUUAUAAUUACUAUUUUAUUUUUAGUGUGUGUCUUUUAGGCGUCUACUGCAAGAAAUCCCUAUGCGGAAGAGGACAGUGCUCGUGGCUUGCGGAUCUUUCAAUCCCGUCACGAACAUGCACCUCCGAAUGUUCGAGUUGGCCAGGGACCAUCUCCAGAAUGGCGUCUCUCCACCCGUUGAGGUGAUUGGUGGCCUGAUAUCUCCCGUGAGCGACGCCUACGGCAAGGCGGGCCUGGUGUCUGCGCGACACCGCUGCGCCAUGCUCAACCUGGCCCUUCUCACCAACGACUGGGUCAGGCUGGACACGUGGGAGUGCAGCCAGGAAGGGUGGACAGAGACACGGCGCGUCUUGCAACACCACUUGGAUGCCCUGAGAGAAAGCCACCAGCAGAGGGUCGACGGAGCCCCCCAUAAACGCCGGAGGACGGACAACUUGAACGACGGGAGCUGGCGGGACUCGAUGCCUGUUCUUGCAGAGGCCUCUCCCAUUGGCGUGAUGCUUCUCUGUGGGGCAGACCUCCUCCAGUCGUUCAGCGUACCCGGACUCUGGAAGGACGCCGACAAAGGAUCACCGCAAGCCCUCACGUCUCCUGUUCCCUUCCGACUCGUUCUGAAGAUAGAGCACCUCGUGUCCCAGUUUGGCCUGGUGGUGGUGACACGGUCAGGCUGCGACGCUGCUCGCUUCAUCUACGAGACGGACUGCCUCUACCGUAAUAGGCAUAACAUUCACCUGGUGACGGAAUGGAUGACCAAUGACAUCAGCUCCACAGGAAUCAGGUGAGGCCCGUUCAUGUCAUCUUCUUUCACAUGUUACUCUCACACCCAAGGGUGUUCACACCCAAGGGUGUUCACUAAUUCAGCUCACUGCUACGCUGACAGGGCGGUAGAAGCCGAGCUCGUCGGACUAGUCGUUCGUCGAUCUUUCACUACGCGAUUAUGAUCCUGCCCAUACUCAUGCGCAGAGAGCAGGCUCAGGCGAUGAAAGGCAGGCGGUUCAUUGGUUUAGCAUGUGCAUAGAUCUUACCACUCCAUCAGCUUAUGGGUUAAUGGAGUAUUAAAGUGUCCUCCAGGUAGUCACCAUCCUGCUCUCUUACGGCUUAUAUUAACUAAACAUCUAGAAUGUUGUGCUUGUUCUAGCUUCUCGACCAGCACACACUGUGCUUUUGAAGUUUUCAGUUCCUGCUUGGUGCGUAGCUUAAGUAAUGGCGUUUUUAAUUGUUUUUUUUUUCUUGGGAGGAUAAUAAGUUUUUGUCUAAAAGUGAAGUGUUGGGAAGAUCCAACUUGUUCACCAGCAGUGGAGCUUUUGAAAUGCUCCUUUAAAAGAAUCAAAGUGGAGAAACAUUAGCAAUCUCAAAACGUUGCAGAAAAUGCUUAGCCGACGUUGGAGGUUUAGUCACGGCCAGUGUCGGUUGAGAGCACGGUGCUCUGCAUGCAGACGUGCUUUGGCCCGUGGUGAAAGUGUCAAGUACCUGCUUCAGGACUCGGUGAUCACCUACAUCCAAGAGCACGGUCUUUACAGACCCUCAUCCGUGGAAAACCAGGACGACUCGGACAACGGUCAGGAGACUGCAGUGUAGGCUCCGAAGACAGGGUCACCUCCGUUCACCCGACAGCUACCGCAUUUUACGUUUUACCGACAUUUAGGGCACAUUGUACAAACUGACACCCAUCAUGCAUUUGUCGCAUCGGGGUGCGCAGUGCCAAUUUUAUCCACGUUUGUAUUUUAAUGUUGUGGCACAAUGAUACGCUGUGAUAACGACUGCUCUCCGGUUGGUACUUAAGCGCGGUUCUGUGGUGCUAAGCGGCGACUCCCAAACAACUUUGUGCAGUCAUAUGUAUGGCACUUUACCCAUUUGUCAUUAUUCGGGAUUUAACACGAAGAUGCGACACCAUCUAAGGUCUAAAAGUAGGUGUCUUUUAUUGGUAACUGCGCCAAACGGGCAUCUGGCGGCCAAAGUGCGAAAGCUCGCUGUAGUCGUCGAGAAAGUUUCAGGUUAGGUGGUUACGAAAAUUUGGCCAAAUCAAAUUAUGUGUAACUUGCAAGACGAAGGUAUGCAGGCAAGUUGUUGGCUUGAAUCAAGGCUGUUGACGCUGUUUAUUUGGCUCUAUCGCUUUAAUCAAAUAACCGCUUACACCGAAUUUUUCUGCCACCCCCUUAACUUCGUUAUAACGAGGGAUUACUGUAACUUGCUACAGUGGUCGUUUUAAAUCAGUGCAUCUCUGGUAACUCACCUGUACUGGGAGAGAUGAGGGAAAGUUCUAGUCAUGAAAUGCGAGUACGAUGAAUGCAUCGUAAGGUUGUAUUUUGAAAACAUGAACGUAACUCCAUUCGGUCGUGCAUGCAACAUACAUUAUAAAAUCGGCAGCAUAUUCAAACAUGGUCGGUUUCGUUGAGUUCCUCGGUGCAGUGCAUCGAGUAGGAUCGGGGAGAGAGAAGACAAUGCUAGAUUUGAGGUGCAUUUCACUCUGUGAUGAGAAAAUGCAAUUCGAGUCAGACAAAAGCAGCAUCCUGUAACAUGCCCAGAUAAACAUAUUCUAGAUGCAUAUUGUUGUUUCGAGAAAUAAUGUUGGCUUCUUCAAUAUUGCAGGCUACUACUAAUAAGAUAGUGUAUACAUACAAAUGGAUAAAUGAACCAGUGUUGUGGCUAUUAUUGUACCCUCUUUAAUUGCAGGAUGUACAUACUUACUGCCUCUAAAUAUUCAGGAAUGUUGUACAAGGGCCACGUCCCAGAGCGCCUCUAACUCCAGUGGCAUAGGAGCAACUGAAGACCUUUAUCCAAUAUCAACAACUCCAUCUUUGUAUCUCUAUUUCAGCCUUCAAAAUUCUCCAUAGUAACAUUUCUAACUCCAGUCUGCACGCUUAGCACUUUUAUCAAAUGCUGUAAACGUUAUCUAUGCAUGAACAUUUCAAUUGUGUUUGCUGCACGAGCAUAAUUGAAGCAUUACAAAGCCACACUAAAGGCACAUCCCUCUACAACACGGUUUGAAUGUGUUCAGAUACAAGUCCCGACAAACCCGUGCCUGCAAAAUAUAAAAAAAGAAACAAUUUUUUACAUGUUGUUUGACAGUUGUGCAAAGGAAGCUUUAACUUAAGACCCUUGCGGUCUCUUCUGUGCAAAAGCAAACAUGAUAAGCUAAAAUGUGUGUGAAUAUCUAUGGCCACGUUUUUAUAGAAAAUAAAAUAUGUACAAAAACAUAA